UACGUAGGGUGCAAGCGUUGUCCGGAAUUAUUGGGCGUAAAGAGCUCGUAGGCGGUCUGUCACGUCGGCUGUGAAAACCCGGGGCUCAACCCCGGGCCUGCAGUCGAUACGGGCAGACUAGAGUGCGGUAGGGGAGACUGGAAUUCCUGGUGUAGCGGUGAAAUGCGCAGAUAUCAGGAAGAACACCCGUGGCGAAGGCGGCUCUCUGGUACGUGACUGACGCUGAGACGCGAAAGCGUGGGGAGCAAACAGG
RNAcentral lists this ribosomal RNA (253 nucleotides) under uncultured bacterium. RNAcentral describes it as "partial 16S ribosomal RNA". It matches the Rfam family "Bacterial small subunit ribosomal RNA", at positions 524 to 776 of the family's 1533-position model. The record is from RNAcentral.